AUCCAAAGUGUUGAGUUCAGUCCAGGGCUGCAUCCCUUGGUCUGGUAAUUAAACUUUGGGACAGCAUGUAGUGCAGAGAUGAGGAAGGUCAGGAAUCUCUGUUCUUGCCAGCUUCCUCUCCCAGCCCACAGAA
Molecule: small nucleolar RNA, 133 nt
Organism: Eublepharis macularius
Lineage: Eukaryota; Metazoa; Chordata; Lepidosauria; Squamata; Eublepharidae
Source: RefSeq, a predicted model, not a curated record